RNAcentral lists this long non-coding RNA (979 nucleotides) under Capra hircus (goat). RNAcentral describes it as "lncRNA (ENSCHIG00000002432.1)". The record is from RNAcentral. Lineage: Eukaryota; Metazoa; Chordata; Mammalia; Artiodactyla; Bovidae.
GUGCCAGGAACUGUGCUAGGCAUAGAAAAUAGACAUGUAAGAGGCAUCAUCCUUAAGGAAGAUAAUAUUUUACUUAGAGUUAAAAAGCACACAAGUUAGAGUUUUCCACUGGGGGCAAACUAUAAUACAAUCAGCUGUCUGGGUGCAUGGGUGAGCCAUGGAGGGCAUCUAGGGAAAACGUCCUACAGGGGGUGAUAACUGAAGUCUUGAGAAAGGACAAAGUUUAGCAGGCAAUGAAAAGAUGACAGAGAUGACAUAACGAAGGUGACACUGCUUACAAAGGGAGAGAGGGCAAAGUCUCAUUCAGGAAAUGAAAGGAUUACUGGUGUGACUGUAGAGGAAAGUACAAGCUGCCUGUGGAGAGGGCAAGAGAAGAGAGGAGCCAUACAUGGAAAAAGACCUCUUGUCCUGGCAAAUCUCCCUGGCCUCCAUCAGGAAGGCUUGAGGGAGUCAUUCAAGGAUUUUAAGAAAACAGGCAGUGUGAUCCUAUCUGAGCGCUCUGACUGCUGGGUGCCUACGAAGUGGUAGCAGGAGAUUAGAAGCAAGGAGGCCCAUAGAGGAGGCUGUGUUCAACCAUCCAGGUACCCUUGAUGAUUUGGUCCCUGGACCAGGCAGAGCUGACAACACAGGUGUCCCCUGGUGUCCAAGUGGAAGACCGCACAUCUCCGAGGAGCUCAGUCCUCCACUGGCAGCUUGGCUUCUAGGGGAAUGCUCAGAAAGUCUCCACAUGUUGUUUCUUCCUCUAAAGGCUGCUGAUGGCAUCAUGGUGAAUAACCACGGCCUGCUUCAUGCUGUUUUGCUUUCAAGUCUGAGAACUUCAUAUGAGAACCUCAGCCUGAAUCAUGUCGCUCCAGGAGCUGUUAUAAUGUACCUGACCAUUGAGAACCUGGAAAGGUUACCUACCAUUCACAACCAAGCCUGCUGGGCACAACGGAGUCACUAUUUCAGUGGCAAGAGAAUGAUUUCAUCCCUACCAUAG